CUUUUUUUUCAAGUCCCUGAUCGGGCGCCACUUGUCGCUGUUGCGCAGCGAUGGACUUGGUGCAUGAAG
This 69-nucleotide microRNA precursor is filed under the name Ochotona princeps (American pika). RNAcentral's name for it is "miRNA (ENSOPRG00000018332.1)". Lineage: Eukaryota; Metazoa; Chordata; Mammalia; Lagomorpha; Ochotonidae. The record is from RNAcentral.